AACGAACGCUGGCGGCAGGCCUAACACAUGCAAGUCGAACGCCGUAGCAAUACGGAGUGGCAGACGGGUGAGUAACACGUGGGAACAUACCCUUCGGUUCGGAAUAACUCAGGGAAACUUGAGCUAAUACCGGAUACGUCCGCGAGGAGAAAGAUUCAUCGCCGGAGGAUUGGCCCGCGUCUGAUUAGCUUGUUGGUGAGGUAACGGCUCACCAAGGCGACGAUCAGUAGCNGGUCUGAGAGGAUGAUCAGCCACAUUGGGACUGAGACACGGCCCAGACUCCUACGGGAGGCAGCAGUGGGGAA
RNAcentral lists this ribosomal RNA (305 nucleotides) under uncultured bacterium. RNAcentral describes it as "bacterial SSU rRNA". It matches the Rfam family "Bacterial small subunit ribosomal RNA", at positions 29 to 361 of the family's 1533-position model. The record is from RNAcentral.